GUGGCCUAGUGGUCAUGGCAUCUGCCCGGUAAGCGGAAGGUCGUGGGUUCGAUUCACACAGACA
This 64-nucleotide transfer RNA is filed under the name Cordylochernes scorpioides. Its description in RNAcentral is "tRNA-Thr". It matches the Rfam family "tRNA", at positions 8 to 63 of the family's 71-position model. From Rfam's summary of the family: Transfer RNA (tRNA) molecules are approximately 80 nucleotides in length. Their secondary structure includes four short double-helical elements and three loops (D, anti-codon, and T loops). Further hydrogen bonds mediate the characteristic L-shaped molecular structure. tRNAs have two regions of fundamental functional importance: the anti-codon, which is responsible for specific mRNA codon recognition, and the 3' end, to which the tRNAs corresponding amino acid is attached (by aminoacyl-tRNA synthetases). tRNAs cope with the degeneracy of the genetic code in two manners: having more than one tRNA (with a specific anti-codon) for a particular amino acid; and 'wobble' base-pairing, i.e. permitting non-standard base-pairing at the 3rd anti-codon position. The record is from RNAcentral. Lineage: Eukaryota; Metazoa; Arthropoda; Arachnida; Pseudoscorpiones; Chernetidae.